Non-coding RNA from Microcebus murinus (gray mouse lemur), 898 nucleotides. NCBI's taxonomy places the organism in Eukaryota, Metazoa, Chordata, Mammalia, Primates, Cheirogaleidae. The record is from RefSeq and is a predicted model, not a curated record.
GUACUCCAUGGAGAAAUUACAAGAGAUUCAUAAGAAUACCAUAAUAGGCUCCAAAUUACAACCUCCAAAAUUAUAGCUAAAUAAUGUUUCAGGCUUUGAUAUUCAGGAAUCCACAAAAAUGAAAAAAUCCUAAGCAUAUCUAAACUUUAAAAUCAAAUGGCACAAAUAGUCAACAGUUAGAGGUCAUUCACUGUGUCCUAGCCCUCUUAAAAGGUGCCACUAAAAGAACUAAGAAGGACAGUUAGAGUGGAUGCAGGGAAACAGCUGAGGAAGUCACCUAGGAAAGCUAUGAUGGCUUUUGGGAAGUGGAAAGAGCAGGGAAGUGGAGAGAAGUGAAAAGAUUCCCAUGUUUAAAUGAACUUAGAAACUACGGAAUUCUCUGAUAGAUGGGAUGUGGAACAGAUAAUCACAAGGAGGGAACAGGUACACAAAAGUAUUACAAGAUUCUAGAAUCUCAAGAAAUCAUGAUGAUUAACUUCCCCCACAAGAGGAAGCACCAGAAAUACUUCCAAGAGUAAUAGCAAGAAUAAUACCAAGAGUUGGAGAUGCUAUAAUGAGAAGUUGAAAGGCCUAACCUUGGAUGAAGUGCCUGAAAACUCAUCCUAGGUUUUCCUGGACAGGAGAAUGGAGAAUGGAAAACUGAACCAUGAAAUCAAAAAGGCAUCUGUCUUCCAGGUUGUUCUCUGCCAAUGUCUUGAGAAAAAUGUUUGAACUUUCCUGUUGGCUUUAUAUGCAAAUAGCUCCAGAUGCAAAGUGAACCACAUCUAAGUUAUUUGGUUCAACAUCUGCUGGUCCAAGUCCCAUUAUUCCUUCUAAAGGGUCAGCUUGUGACAGUUUAGUUUGCCCUCUAUCUAAGCUGUUUUGAAGGAGCUAAUUUGGAUUAAAGUAUCUAUCUGGA